Molecule: transfer RNA, 74 nt
Filed under: Daphnia pulex (common water flea)
Lineage: Eukaryota; Metazoa; Arthropoda; Branchiopoda; Diplostraca; Daphniidae
Description: tRNA-Asn
Rfam family: tRNA
About the family: Transfer RNA (tRNA) molecules are approximately 80 nucleotides in length.
Source: RNAcentral
GUCCUGUUAGCUCAGUUGGUUAGAGCGCCGUGCUAUUAACGCGGAGGUCAUGUGUUCGAUCCUCCUACGGGCCA